RNAcentral lists this unclassified non-coding RNA (225 nucleotides) under Hevea brasiliensis (rubber tree). Lineage: Eukaryota; Viridiplantae; Streptophyta; Magnoliopsida; Malpighiales; Euphorbiaceae. The record is from RNAcentral.
CUUCUUUUUUUCUUUUGUUGGGGGGGGGGAGAGGAGGGGAUGUGGUAUGGAAUUGAACGAUUGAUUACAAUUGAGAAGACAGUGGAUUACAAAAUGAUAAAGAUAUCAACAUAAUCCAUAUUAUCCAGGAAAAUUAAGCCCAUGCAUGGAUAACAUACUAAAGAAACCAAAGACAGCAGAGGUAGCACAUUUAUUUUUUAAAGAAAAGGCCCAACCUGACUCAUG